GAUGAACGCUGGCGGCGUGCUUAACACAUGCAAGUCGAACGGAAAGGCCUCUGCUUGCAGGGGUACUCGAGUGGCGAACGGGUGAGUAACACGUGGGUGAUCUGCCCUGCACUUCGGGAUAAGCCUGGGAAACUGGGUCUAAUACCGGAUAGGACAAUGGUUUGGAUGCUGUUGUGGAAAGUUUUUCGGUGUGGGAUGAGCUCGCGGCCUAUCAGCUUGUUGGUGGGGUAAUGGCCUACCAAGGCGUCGACGGGUAGCCGGCCUGAGCGGGUGUACGGCCACAUUGGGACUGAGAUACGGCCCAGACUCCUACGGGAGGCAGCAGUGGGGAAUAUUGCACAAUGGGCGCAAGCCUGAUGCAGCGACGCCGCGUGGGGGAUGACGGCCUUCGGGUUGUAAACUCCUUUCGCUAGGGACGAAGCGUUUUUGUGACGGUACCUGGAGAAGAAGCACCGGCUAACUACGU
This 466-nucleotide ribosomal RNA is filed under the name uncultured bacterium. RNAcentral's name for it is "partial 16S ribosomal RNA". It matches the Rfam family "Bacterial small subunit ribosomal RNA", at positions 28 to 506 of the family's 1533-position model. The record is from RNAcentral.